ACGAAUACCGAGAGAAACCGAGCUGCGUUCUUCGUGUUCUUCGUAAUCAAACGAAGAUUUGAAGGUGUUAUUGGAGUCAGAAUCAAGCGUGCAAAUAGUCAGAUCGAAGAUAUCGAAGAGUAGAACCCAAAUCAAUCAUCAAAAACAACAUGAGAUUCACAGGUAGGGAGUAAUUGAAGUUUUAAAAUUCGAAUUAUUAUGAUUUUAAAUAGUGAAUUCUUGCAAACGUGAUUGUUUGAUUGUUUGGAUGAUUCCAUGUUGUAGAACGUGUUUUUCUCGUCGUUUUGGUAUAUUAUAUGUUGAAUUUCGAGUUCGGAAACAUCUAGAAAAGUGGGUUUGAUUAUUUGGUUGUGUUCUUGGUGUUCUUGAGUUUUUCGCCGGAAAAUAUUGAUUUUUGGCCGGAGAUUGCGUUCUGAUGGUUCUGGGCAGAAACUAAGGGUCUAGGCGUGUACAUAGUGUCCUGGUAGAUCAUUUUGUGGGUUCAAAACGAGUGGAGGAGGCCUGGAAACGCCGCCGGAAUCUGAGAAACUAACGAUGCCGGCGGUCGUUCUUCAAGACUUUCCGGCCACCUCGUUGGUCCUUUCUUGAAACUAAAAGCCUGGUUGAACUCCUAGUGUCGUAUAGCACCAAUCUGGAGGUUCUGGUGAGUCAUGGACGCCGGGAAACGAUCUGCCGGCGAGUUGGUGGGUGGCCGACGGCUAAUUGCCGUUUGGUCACCAGAAUUGUGAAGGUGAUGAAGUGGAGACACCCAGGUUUCAAAAGUUACAUAUCACCCCCUGUAACUUCCUAAAGUUACAGUUUAAACCCUGGUUGAAAACUUUCAAAAGUUUACAAAAUAAACCUUUUCAUUUUAAAAAUGUUUUUAAUUUUCAAAAAUAGUUUUAAUUAUUUCUUUAUUCAAAAAUAAAUCUAAAUUAGUUUGUUAAUUAAUUUUAAUUAGUAAUUAAUUAUUUUAAUUAGUCAAUUAAUUUAAAAAUUAAUUGAUUAAUUAUUUUAAUUAAUUAUUAAUUGAUUUUAAUUGAUUAAUUAAUUGGAUUUAAUUAAUCCUUUUUGAUUUAAAAAUUCCGAAAAAUAGUUUCGAGUUUUGAAAUAUUUUUCUAAAUAAUUUUCAAGGCUCGAUAAUUGUUUAUGAAUGAUUUCAAGUCCAAUUUUGAGUAUUUGGGACUUGAUUAUUUAUUCGAAAAGUGAUUCUUUUAUCGAUUUUAAUUCCGAAAAAUGUUUAAAAAUUUCAGAAAAUUCCCCGAAAAAUCAUUUUGAACUCAAGAUUUGAUUUGACCUCUAUUGGGGUGGGAAACCUUAUGUGUAAUGUGUUGUCUGCUAUUGGUUGGAUGUCUUAUGUGUCGAUAUAAGAUUAUAACGUCUAUUUUAAUAUGAUGUGACUAUAUGGAUGAGUCUAUAAGGUGAAUAAUUGUUGAUAAGUAUGCAUAAUGUGAUAACCUUAUAAAGUCUAUUUUAAUAUGACAUAAUAAUAUGAUUGAGUCAAGAAUGUGAUUAUGUGUUGUUAAAUAUGUAGAAUGUGAUUAUAUGUGAUCUAAUUGCUAUAAAUUGAUGGUUACGUGAAGUACGUGUUUAUGGAUGAUAUUAUAAAUGUGAUGAGUGAUUUGUAUGACAUGGUGUUGUGUCCUGAUUGAUAGGGGAUAAUAAUAUAUGGAUUAUAGGAAUUAGAAUUGGUUGACUGGUUGUUGAUUGAGAAUAGGUUGACAGGGGGAUAGUCUUAUACAUAGACGAAACGAUGUCGGAUUUUCGAUAAGGAUUUAUAUGAUAACUGAUUGGUGAUAUGUUAUGUGGAAUAUGAUUGACUAUAUGUUAGAGUCAAAGCAUGCUUAUGUGUUAAGUGAUAUGUGAUAAGUUUAAAGGGGUAUAUAAGUGGGUAUCGAUAUACGUGAUAUGUAUAUGCGAUAUAUUGUUUAGUGACUAUAGUAUUAUCUUAUUCUCGUAAAGGAUUUGGAGGAGACGUGUACGCUCGAAGACGUCAGAAAGUCGGAAUGGUAUUGCAAAGCGAAUAAGGGAUGAAUCGAGUAAGCGAAGCGAUGUGGCGAAUAGAGUAUAGCUAGAGAUGGUCUAGAGAUUACGAGAUGCAUAGAUUGUGAAAGUGGAGAGAUGAGAUAGAGAUGUGAGACUGGAGUCAGAUUUAAGGCAAGUAUCCUAAACCUUUCUCUUGGAUAUAUUGCAAAUAUUCUGAUCCAUUCCUUUGGUAUAUGUUUCAAGUAUUCAUACCUUUCUUUUCAAUGUUCGAAAGUGCGAGUAUUCUGACCCAUUCUUUCUAAUCUUCAAGUUUCUAAAGAAUUUCCGUUUUACAAAUUAAUUCGAAGUUCAGAUUGUCAUUGAAGCAUGUGUUGCUCAGUGAUAGUUAGAGCUUUGAAUGAAUUGGGAUCUUCUUGAUUAUUCAACCCGCCAUUGUCAUGCUGGUUUAGCAGGCUAAAUUCAGUUGCUUAGCCGAUAAUGGAGGAUACUGAAUAGUUGAGGAUUUCCUGAACUGUGAUUUAUGAAAUGAUGGAUCAUGAUUUAUGAAUAGAUUAUUAUCAAAGUUUGAAUUGGAAUUAUUCUGUUGUUGAUGAUAUUUAUGAUGAUGUUCUGUUAAUUUACAUUGGCUUCUUGAAUUGAAUUAGAGAAUUGGAUUAUUGUUUUUAUAUAAACCUGUGGACCAGAUUCGUGGUCAUGUUAGGCCAAUGAGUGCCUUGGAUCCAGUGAUAGAGCAUGGCGGGGCCUGCUCGGGGUUAGUGCGGAACUGAUCAGCUGCCUAACCUUGGUUUUAAUUAAAAUGUGAUAGUCCAAUUCAAUAAUUCUUUGGAAAGAUUGAAUUUCUCAGUUUAAAUGCUGCAAGGUAUUGUAAAUCAUUCUAUACAAUACCAUGAACUCAUGAACUCAGGUUGAAUCCUCUUAUAUCUUGAACUCGUGAACUUCUGUUAUAUCAUUUCAGAACUAUCAUUGUUUAUUAUUACUUGCUGAGCAUUGUUGCUCACCCUUGCUAUUCCUUUCUAACCAUUUCAGAAAGGCUUAAAGAUGAGAUGAUUGAUUGAGAUUGUGAGUAAGGCUAAUGCUAGGCGAGGAGACAGAGUUGAGGAUCCAGUGGUCGAGGAGUGUUCAGGAAAGUUGAUGAGGUUGGUGCAAGCUGGAAUAGUUGACAGUGAUUCUUCUUAUCGAAGAUGAUCUGAUUUGGUAAGAGAUGUUGUGUAAUA
Molecule: long non-coding RNA, 3179 nt
Filed under: Daucus carota (carrot)
Lineage: Eukaryota; Viridiplantae; Streptophyta; Magnoliopsida; Apiales; Apiaceae
Description: long non-coding RNA (DCAR_LNC005207)
Source: RNAcentral